UACGGGGGGGGUAAGCGUUGUUCGGAAUUACUGGGCGUAAAGCGCAUGUAGGCGGCCAAGCAGGUCGGAUGUGAAAUCCCUCGGCUCAACCAAGGAAAGUGCAUUCGAAACCGCAUGGCUGGAGUCCCGGAGAGGGUAGUGGAAUUCUCGGUGUAGAGGUGAAAUGCGUAGAUAUCUGGAGGAACACCGGUGGCGAAGGCGGCAUCCUGGACCGGUACUGACGCUGAGGUGCGAAAGCGUGGGGAGCAAACAGG
RNAcentral lists this ribosomal RNA (254 nucleotides) under uncultured bacterium. RNAcentral describes it as "partial 16S ribosomal RNA". It matches the Rfam family "Bacterial small subunit ribosomal RNA", at positions 524 to 776 of the family's 1533-position model. The record is from RNAcentral.